This 254-nucleotide ribosomal RNA is filed under the name uncultured bacterium. RNAcentral describes it as "partial 16S ribosomal RNA". It matches the Rfam family "Bacterial small subunit ribosomal RNA", at positions 524 to 776 of the family's 1533-position model. The record is from RNAcentral.
UACAGAGGGGGGCAAGCGUUAUUCGGAAUUAUUGGGCGUAAAGGGCGCGUAGGCGGCUUGGCAAGUGGAUGGUGAAAUCCCUCGGCUUAACCGAGGAACUGCCGUCCAAACUGCUUAGCUUGAGACCGGGAGAGGUGAGUGGAAUUCCCAGUGUAGCGGUGAAAUGCGUAGAUAUUGGGAGGAACACCAGUGGCGAAGGCGGCUCACUGGACCGGUACUGACGCUGAUGCGCGAAAGCGUGGGGAGCAAACGGG